Small nucleolar RNA from Fukomys damarensis (Damara mole-rat), 77 nucleotides. NCBI's taxonomy places the organism in Eukaryota, Metazoa, Chordata, Mammalia, Rodentia, Bathyergidae. The record is from Ensembl.
GGCUUAUCUGUGAUGUAAAAAUAAAUGUCUGAACAUAUGAAUGCAACAAUGAUUUUCGUAUUUUACUGAGAUAAGCU